CAGCAGCCGCGGUAAUACGUAGGGCGCAAGCGUUGUCCGGAAUUAUUGGGCGUAAAGAGCUCGUAGGCGGUCCGUCACGUCGGUUGUGAAAACCCAAGGCUCAACCUUGGGCCUGCAAUCGAUACGGGCGGACUAGAGUACUGCAGGGGAGACUGGAAUUCCUGGUGUAGCGGUGGAAUGCGCAGAUAUCAGGAGGAACACCGGUGGCGAAGGCGGGUCUCUGGGCAGUAACUGACGCUGAGGAGCGAAAGCGUGGGGAGCAAACAGGAUUAGAUACCCUGGUAGUCCACGCCGUAAACGGUGGGUGCUAGGUGUGGGGCCCUUUCCACGGGUUCUGUGCCGAAGCUAACGCAUUAAGCACCCCGCCUGGGGAGUACGGCCGCAAGGCUAAAACUCAAAGGAAUUGACGG
Molecule: ribosomal RNA, 410 nt
Filed under: uncultured bacterium
Lineage: Bacteria
Description: bacterial SSU rRNA
Rfam family: Bacterial small subunit ribosomal RNA
Source: RNAcentral